RNAcentral lists this transfer RNA (76 nucleotides) under Escherichia coli. Its description in RNAcentral is "tRNA-Val". It matches the Rfam family "tRNA". Rfam says of the family: Transfer RNA (tRNA) molecules are approximately 80 nucleotides in length. Their secondary structure includes four short double-helical elements and three loops (D, anti-codon, and T loops). Lineage: Bacteria; Pseudomonadati; Pseudomonadota; Gammaproteobacteria; Enterobacterales; Enterobacteriaceae. The record is from RNAcentral.
GGGUGAUUAGCUCAGCUGGGAGAGCACCUCCCUUACAAGGACGGGGUCGGCGGUUCGAUCCCGUCAUCACCCACCA